Long non-coding RNA from Oncorhynchus tshawytscha (Chinook salmon), 400 nucleotides. Lineage: Eukaryota; Metazoa; Chordata; Actinopteri; Salmoniformes; Salmonidae. The record is from Ensembl.
CUUCUCUCUUCUCUUCCUUUCCAGCAACCUGCUCUAUAAAUUAUGAAUCUUAAACUUCACUGGAAAUUUCUCAUAGACUUCUUCAGUCUUAAAUGAGGGAGUCGAAGGUGUAACGGCUGUCGUCGGUGGAAGAAGGCCAGCUGAGGAACUAGGGAGGAGCGAGGAAUUUGGCUCGAGGUCAAGUCAACAGAUGAAGUGAGAAGAAACCACUGGGAGGGGGGCCAGAGGGUUCCACCACAACAAUCCUUCUUCUACAGUCCUAUCUCACACACAUACACUUUCAGGUUCUAGAAUUAGGCAGGGCCAUGACAACACCGAUGAGAGGAACCUAUUAAGUUCCUGACUAGCAACAGAGAUGUAUUGGCUGUCUAGAUGUGUAAGGAGUCCGCCCAGUCGGAGG